RNAcentral lists this transfer RNA (85 nucleotides) under Felis catus (domestic cat). It matches the Rfam family "tRNA". From Rfam's summary of the family: Transfer RNA (tRNA) molecules are approximately 80 nucleotides in length. Their secondary structure includes four short double-helical elements and three loops (D, anti-codon, and T loops). The record is from Rfam by way of RNAcentral. Lineage: Eukaryota; Metazoa; Chordata; Mammalia; Carnivora; Felidae.
GCCUGGGUGGCUCAGUCAGUUAAGCGUCUGACUUUGGCUCAGGUCAUAAUCUCACGGUUUGUGAGUUCAAGCCCCACAUCAGGCU